AGGACGGCAUGUUCCAAGGAUAAGGCGAUGGAGUCUCCAAAACUCUAUGUGGUGAGUUCGAUUCUCACCCGUCCUGCCA
RNAcentral lists this transfer RNA (79 nucleotides) under Bacillota bacterium. Its description in RNAcentral is "tRNA-Trp". Lineage: Bacteria; Bacillati; Bacillota. The record is from RNAcentral.